UAUUAUUGUUUUAUUUGCGCAAUUUACGUGUUUGUAACGCGUACCAUCGGAGCAAAGUAAUUAAUACACAAUUUUCUCCUCUCGAGCACAACAGUAAUUUUUUAUGUUUGCAUUAUUUUCGGAAACACUCUGGAUAUUAUAGGUAUUCGCCGUCGACUUUCGGUCGAAAACUAUACACUGUUGCGUAUCAUCAGUGGACGACGUACUU
Molecule: non-coding RNA, 208 nt
Organism: Cinara cedri
Lineage: Eukaryota; Metazoa; Arthropoda; Insecta; Hemiptera; Aphididae
Source: the annotation of a GenBank genome assembly